Molecule: long non-coding RNA, 299 nt
Organism: Carya illinoinensis
Lineage: Eukaryota; Viridiplantae; Streptophyta; Magnoliopsida; Fagales; Juglandaceae
Exons: 3
Source: RefSeq, a predicted model, not a curated record
AGAAGAAGGGGGGGUUGAGGCUGUGUUGGUUGGUUUCCUGAAAACAGGGGAGAUUGAGGCUAGAGUGAGGGUCGGAAGCUUGUUGGAAUAGAAGAUGGAGAAAGGGAAGGAGCAUGCAUCUUCCUCUACACCUCCUACCGCACAUCCAGAAAUAAAUCUUCCGUCCCAGGCGAUACCAAUACCAUUUUAUCCGGGUUUGUCAAACUAUAUGCAUAGUUUCCAUCCACCAAUGCCAUAUGCCUGGUUACCACCAUUUGUGGAGCAUCCCGAUGCAAACCCAUCUACAUGGACUAGUCAGG